UUGAAAGGGAAACGAUUGAAGUCAGUCGUACCUGCGGGUAAUCAGCCUUUUGGGCAUGAUUCUGUGGAGCGUGAGGAGUUAAACGCCUUCAUGCCUGCAUAUUCGUGUACUUUGGGUGUACUUGCCUGUGUGGUUAGUUAACAUCAAUUUUGGUUAUCAUAAAAUGGCUGGAGGAAUGUAGCUUCGAUUUCGAUUGAAGUGUUAUAGACUUCGGCAGAUGUGAUGAUCGGGAUUGAGGAUUGCAACGGGUACCCUUCGGGGCUACCUGUCUGAUCUCUGAUCGUUGCUCUGGUGCCGAAAGCGUGCUUACGGUUAUCAAAGUCGAUGGUCAAUAGGUUAGAAUGGGUUAAAUUCGUUAAGGAUGUUGACGUA
This 372-nucleotide ribosomal RNA is filed under the name uncultured Glomeromycotina. Its description in RNAcentral is "eukaryotic LSU rRNA". The record is from RNAcentral. Lineage: Eukaryota; Fungi; Glomeromycota.